AGAAGCAUAAAACCUAAAUCUUCCAGCAAGUGCAAGACCCUGCGUUCUUUCAGUGUUUGCAGUAAACCAAGCAGAAUGAAUUGCUGUCUGUAAAGUACUGUGCCAUGACACCUAAAAUGAAGGGAAUGUAAUGCAAAGUAAUGACUCAAAGGCUGCCACCAAGAGCUUUUCUCUUCCUUUAACUCAUUGUGGAAACUGAGGAAGAAAAGAAGUUACACGGUGUGCCUAAGGGGACACAGAGGAAGAGCACGCGGAACACAAUCAGGAAGGAGUGGAAGAAGUCAUUCAUGUGCCAACGCGGGAGCUUACAGUCGCUGUCAAUCUUGCAGACACAAUCUUUGUAGCUUUUACCGAAGAGCUGCAUGCCGACCACGGCAAAAAUGAA
Long non-coding RNA from Pteronotus mesoamericanus, 385 nucleotides. RefSeq lists it as uncharacterized. NCBI's taxonomy places the organism in Eukaryota, Metazoa, Chordata, Mammalia, Chiroptera, Mormoopidae. The record is from RefSeq and is a predicted model, not a curated record. The transcript has 3 exons.